Molecule: long non-coding RNA, 107 nt
Organism: Ceratina calcarata
Lineage: Eukaryota; Metazoa; Arthropoda; Insecta; Hymenoptera; Apidae
Exons: 3
Source: RefSeq, a predicted model, not a curated record
AAUAUUCAGAAAUUCGUAUAUUAUAUUUAGACAAUUCUGGUAUAUAUACAAUUGAGAAGGGUGCUUUCCUAAAUUUAACAAAGUUAUUCUGGCUAGCUUUGGAUCAC